CCGCCGCCGCCGCCGCCGCCGCCGCCGCCGCCGCCGCCGCCGCCGCCGCCGCCGCCGCCGCCGCCGCCGCCGCCGCCGCCGCCGCCGCCGCCGCCGCCGCCGCCGCUACUUCAGCACCAGCGCCCGGACAGCGGCGCCGCCCACGGGCAUGGACGGCGGUAGCGGCAGCGGCAGCAACGAUCCGGCUCCCGGCCCGGGUCUGGAAGGGGAGCAGCGGCCCGAGAGGGAGCCUUUGGCUCCAGACGGCAGGUCCCCGGACAGGUCCCAGAGCAAGGCUGUGGCCCCUGAGGCAAGCCCAGAGAGAAGCGGCGCCCUCCACAGCUGCCCCCUUGAGGACCCUUCCAGUUCUUCGGGACCCCCACCAGGAACUUCCACCCUUCAUCCUGUGGGCCCAUCCAGCCCCUUGGCCCCUGCCCACUUUACCUAUCCCCGGGCACCACAGGAAUACCGGGGGGGCAGCUCCCUUCCAGGGCUUGGGGACCGGGCAGCGCUGUGCUCCCAUGGCUCCAGCCUCAGCCCUUCCCCAGCCCCCUCACAGCAUGAUGGGGCCUGGAAGCCGGCAUCUGUGCAGCACCAUGUGGUCAGCGUCAGGCAGGUACGGGCCUUCCAGAUGCCAAAGAGCUAUUCCCAGCUGAUUGCUGAGUGGCCAGUGGCCGUGCUGCUGCUGUGUCUGGCUGUCAUCCUCCUCUGCACCCUGGCUGGACUGCUGGGAGGCCAGCUACCCGAUUUCUCCAAGCCCUUACUGGGCUUUGAGCCUCGGGACACGGACAUUGGGCGCAAGCUAGUGGUCUGGAGAGCACUGCAGUCCCUCACAGGCCCCAAGAAGCUGCUUUCCCUUUCUCCAGACCUUGAGCUGAACAGCUCAAACCCCCAUACCACUCUGAGCCCCACACCCUGGAGCAGUGCCCAGGAGGGCAUGGUCCGGCCUCGGAGGAUGGUGGAGCCCCUGGAGGCCAGAGGGCAGGAGAGCUUCUUCUGUGGCCCCCCUGAGAAGAGCUAUGCACAGCUGGUGUUCAUGUCCACCUCAGCGGGCAGCCUGUGGAACCUGCACGCCAUCCAUUCCAUGUGUCGCAUGGAACAGGAUCAGGUCCGCUCCCAUACCAGCUUUGGGGCUCUGUGCCAGCGUACAGCAGCCAACGAGUGCUGCCCCAGUUGGUCCCUGGGCAACUAUGUGGCCGUGCUCUCCAAUCGUUCCUCCUGCCUGGACACUACUCAAGCCGACACAGCCCGCACGCUGGCCCUGCUGCGGGCCUGUGCCCUCUACUAUCACCGUGGUGCCCUGGUGCCCUCUUGUCUGGGACCCGGGAAGGACAAGCCCCCGCGCUGUGCCCAGGUUCCCACCAAGUGCUCCCGGAGCAGUGCUGUCUACCAACUCCUGCACUUCCUGCUGGACAGGGACUUUCUGAGUCCCCAGACGGCUGACUACCAGGUGCCCUCCCUCAAGUACAGCCUGCUCUUCCUGCCCACCCCGAAGGGUGCCUCCAUGAUGGGCAUCUACCUGGACCGCCUAGCCGUGCCCUGGGGGCUCUCCGACAACUACACAUCCAUCACUGGCAUGGACCUGGGCCUCAAGCAGGAGCUGCUGAGGCACUACCUGGCCCAGGAUACGGUGUACCCCUUGCUGGCCCUGGCCGCCAUCUUCCUCAGCAUCGCCCUCUACCUGCGCUCCCUCUUCCUCACACUCAUGGUGCUACUGGGGGUGCUGGGCUCCCUGCUGCUUGCCUUUUUUCUUUACCGAGUGGCCUUCCGGAUGGCCUACUUCCCCUUCGUCAAUCUGGCGGCCCUUGUCCUGCUGAGCAGCGUCUGCGCCAACCACACCCUCAUCUUCUUCGACCUCUGGCGCCUCAGCAAGAGCCAGCUGCCCUCCGGGGGGCUGGCGCAGCGCGUGGGCCGCACCAUGCACCACUUCGGCUACCUGCUGCUAGUCUCGGGCCUCACCACGGGCGCGGCUUUCUACGCCAGCUACCUGAGCCGCCUCCCCAACGUCCGCUGCUUCGCGCUCUACAUGGGCACGGCUGUGCUGGCGCACCUGGCGCUCACGCUGGCCUGGCUGCCCUCCUCCGCGGUGCUCCACGAGCGCUACCUAGCGCGCGGCUGUGCGGCCCGGGCGCGCGGCCCGUGGGGCGGCAGCGCGCCCCGGCGACUGGCGCUGGCGCUGCACCGGCGGCUCCGCGGGCUAAGGAGGGCGGCCGCCAGCACCUCGCGCCUGCUCUUCCAGCGCCUUCUGCCCUGCGGCGUCAUCAAGUUCCGCUACAUCUGGAUCUGCUGGUUCGCCGCGCUGGCGGCGGGGGGGGCCUACAUCGCCGGCGUCAGCCCCCGCCUGCGGCUGCCCACGCUGCCGCCGCCCCGCGGCCAGGUCUUCCGGCCCAGCCACCCCUUCGAACGCUUCGACGCUGAGUACCGUCAGCAGUUUCUGUUCGAGCGGCUGCCUCAGGGUGAGGGCGGCCACAUGCCUGUGGUUUUGGUGUGGGGCAUCCUGCCGGUGGACACUGGCGAUCCCCUGGACCCUCGCAGCAACAGCUCUCUGGUGAGUGACCCUGCCUUCUCGGCCAGCGGUCCUGAGGCGCAGCGCUGGCUGCUGGCACUCUGCCAGGGAGCUCGGAAUCAGAGCUUCUUUGGGGCCCAGCCAGAGGGCUGGCCCACGCUGUGCUUCGUGGAGGCCCUCCGGCGCUGGAUGGAGAGCCCCGGUUGCGCCCGCCUGGGGCCUGGCCUCUGCUGUGGCCACUCGGGCUUCCCCUGGGCCCCCCAGCUUUUCCUGCACUGCCUCAAGAUGAUGGCUCUGGAGCAAGGCCCCGAGAGCACCCGGGACCUGGGAGCCCGCUUCAAUACCCAGGGCGGCCUGGCCGCCCUGGUCCUGCAGUUCCAGACCAACUUCCAGUAUAGUCCAGACUACAGCCAGGCCCACCACUUCUACACUGAGGUCAGCUACUGGCUGGCAGCAGAGCUGGGCAGGGCACCCCCCGGCCUGCGCCGGGGUUGGUUCACCAGCCGUCUGGAGCUGUACAGCCUGCAGCACAGCCUGAGCACCGAGCCUGCUGUGGUGCUGGGCCUGGCCCUGGCGCUGGCCUUUGCCACACUGCUGCUGGGCACCUGGAAUGUUCCACUUAGCCUGUUCUCUGUGGCAGCCGUGGCAGGCACCGUGCUGCUCACGGUGGGGCUCCUGGUUCUGCUCGAGUGGCAGCUCAACACUGCUGAGGCCCUCUUUCUCUCUGCCUCUGUGGGCCUCUCGGUCGACUUCACCGUCAACUACUGCAUCUCCUAUCACCUGUGCCCACACCCUGACCGCCUGAGCCGCGUGGCCUUCUCGCUGCGCCAGACCAGCUGCGCCACGGCGGUGGGGGCUGCAGCCCUGUUUGCAGCCGGUGUGCUCAUGCUGCCUGCCUCGGUGUUGCUCUAUCGCAAGCUGGGCAUCGUCCUCAUGAUGGUGAAGUGCGUCAGCUGCGGCUUCGCCAGCUUCUUCUUCCAAUCUCUCUGCUGUUUCUUUGGACCAGAGAAGAACUGUGGACAAAUCCUCUGGCCUUGUGCCCACCUGCCAUGGGACGCCGGAACUGGGGAGCCUGGAGGGGAGAAGGCAGGCCGCCAACGACCAGGGCCAGUGGGAGGGGCGCCUGGGUCCUGUCCAGAGCAGUACGAGUUACAGCCCCUGGCACGACGCCGGAGUCCCAGCUUUGACACUAGUACAGCCACCAGCAAGCUGUCCCACCGGCCCUCAGUGCUCUCUGAGGAUCUACAGCUGCAUGAUGGCCCCUGCUGCUCCCGGCUCCCACCAGCCCCUACCUCCCCAAGGGAGGUGUUCCUGGACCACCAGGCGCUCUUCAGCCAGUGCCCAGCCCUGCAGACCUCCUCCCCCUAUAAGCAGGCUGGUCCCAGCCCCAAAACCCGGGCCAGGCAGGACUCCCAAGGGCAGAAGCCUGAGCCUGUGCAGGCAUCACCAGAAGCCCCAGCCCACUCCCCCAAGCCCAAGCCCCAGGUCGCAGAGCCUCCUGAGUGCCUCUGCUCCUCAGCCAGCACCCUGGAGGGGCUCAGUGUCUCUGACGAGACCUGCCUAAGCACCUCUGAGCCCAGUGCCCGUGUGCCAGAUUCCGUGGGUGCCUCUCCAGAGGACCUGGAUGAAACUGAGCAAACAGUACCUGAGCGGGGCCAGCUGAAUGGGAAGCGGGACACGCUGUGGCUGGCGCUGAGGGAGACCGUGUACGACCCAUCACUGCCCGCCUCCCACCAGAGCAGCUCAUCCUGGAAGGGCCGUGGUGGGCCAGGGGAUGGCAGCCCUGUGGUGCUGCCCAACAGCCAGCCGGAUCUGCCAGACGUUUGGGUGCGCAGGCCCAGCACCCACACUUCAGGCUACAGCAGCUGAGGGGGGCCCCGAGAGGCGGGACUGGGGCCCAGAGCCUGUCGGGGGUGACAAGGCAGGGGCAGCAGCAGGCUAGAGCCUGUUGGUGUUUCCUCACAUCAGCGGGGAGGGGUCUCACUCUCCAGCUGUGGAUUUUGAACCCUGCCAGAUGAUCCAGCCUUGGUAGGGGCUUCUGCUUCCUCCCCACAUCUAGAGGAUUCAGUGGGGGGUGCGGGGGGGUGGUCUUUGGAGUGAAACGCCAAGCUCUCCUAGUGACCUGCUAAGGGCUCGUCUGCCCCACAGUGCCAACCAGGACCCACCCUCUGGAAUGGGGAAGGCCACAGUCGUAGCUCCGUAUAUCAGGGGAGGCUGACCUGGCCCCCAUGCCAAGUGACAAGAAGGUCAGUGGGACUAAGGACCCAGCCAGGGCACCUCACCAACCAAAAGAGCCCUGGGAAGCCUCAGCAGCCUCCUGGACCUCACACCUUUCAGAGGCUUUUUAUCAGGACACUUCCUUCUCUUUGGGGAUCCUCUCUGGGCCAGAAUUGGGCUGGGCCCUCUGUCCUUAACUACCUGUGUCCCUCACAGUCCUCAGUCUGACCAGGAAUUUGUCAAGACCAGGCAGAGAUGGCUGCUGGCAGUGAAGUGGAGGAGGAGGAAUGGUCGGCCUCUGAGCACCCCUAAAUUGCUGACGGUCCCUCAUGGGGAGCUGCAUUGACAUGGAAGGGUCCUCUCCCCUGUUAACAACAAUAAGAAUCCUUUACGUCCUGCAUCUUUUAGUUUGCAGAACACUUCUACACCCAUCGUGUCCUGGGAAUCUCACCACUUCUGUAUGGGGUAGCCUACAGUUGGUCAGGUCCUUUUGCCGCCAGUUUACAGGUAAAGACAUUGAGACUAGGUAAGGUUAAGUGAUUUACACAAAGUCGCGUAGAUAGUAAAUGGCAGAACAGGCUUCCUGACUCAUUCCACCACAACUGCCACUCUCCUCCUGUCUACCUGCCCCAGGGACGUUGGCCUGUGGCUGUCUUGAUCUUUGGUCUCUGACAAUCUCUAACAACCUGCCUUCGCAGAUGCCUCUCGGUAAACUCCCCUCCUUCCUCGCUUUAGGCCUCCAUCUCCAGAAAGAGCUACGUUCUGAGCAAGCCUGGAGUUCCUCCCCAUCUCCCUCGUGCUUCCCUCCAGCUCCAGCUGAGAAGCCUACCAUCCAUAAGGCAUCCUGGCUGUUCUGAUUCCCAGGUUCAGGGUCAAGAGGAGGAGGCCUCUUCAGUGGCCACAAUGUGUGGAGAGUCCCUGCCAGGAGAUGCACUGAGGGCAGUAGAGGCUGAGAAGAGUUCAAUUAAGGCAGGAACUCAGGGCUGCCCUCUUUAGGAGUGUGUAAGUCUGAAGCUGUUUUGCAGGUCAAGGUCCCAGCUUCCUAAGGACAGGUCUCUCUAGGGGCACUCAGCAGACCAAAGGCUGACUGCCCCCUCCCCAAAGCAAAGGUCUCUCUGGAAGGUAUUAUCCCACAUGAGAGCUCACGACACCUGGAGCUUCAGCAAGUUUACUGAACACCAACUCUGCCUAUGGCACUACAUGGGGACAGAGGCAAGGAGGGAAAAUCAGACAUCUGCCCUAAGGAGCUCACUCUCUAGCUGGGGAAACAGCUCACACACACAUGCGGGCAUCGAUGGGUCACUGAUAGUAGCAUGCAGCACAUGCUGAGGGCCAUAGGCCUGUCACCAUGACUAUUGCUGGAGCUCAAGUACCCAGGAAUGGUAACCAGGAAGGCUUCCUGGAGGAGGAACGACUUGAGCUGGGCUUUAGAAGUCCAAGUAUCUCAAACUGGAAGGGACCUUAACAAUCAUUUAUUCCAGCAGUUUUCAAACUUUGGAGCCUCAGGAUCCUUUCUUCAAAGAAUCCUUGUGUGGAAACAGUAUAUAAAGCAGAUGAAAAGCAGCCACUCUGGUGGGUGCUGGGGGUGGGGGAGUACAGAGCCAGGUCAGCCUCCCUUUCUACUGGGCCUCUCAGGGGACCCUGGGGAACCCCUCAAGCUCCUGGUGGCUCUGAAGAAUGUGAUGCGAAACCACUGAUGCAGGUCAUUUUAUGGAUGAGUAGCACAGAGAGGAAGGACUUUUCUAGGGCCAAAGAGACAGUCUGUGGCAGAGCUGGAGGCAAAUCAGGGGGUGUUUGGGUUUUUUUUCCUAUAUUGUUGAGCCCUACCUCCCACUCCGAGUAACCCAUAAGAAGUGAGGCCAGAACCCCAAUGAAAAUAUGGGCGUUGUGGAAGAGACAGAAGACCGUGGGCAGAAAUGACCGGUUAUGUCGGCUCCUUUGCAAGAUAAUGAUACCCAUUUGACUCCCGACACCAGGAAGGAGAGACAGUGACUAGGACUAACUUGGACCAUCUCCCUGGAGGUCCGCUGAGACCUCUCUCUCUUCAUGUCCGAGUAGAAUUCAGCCUCUCUGGCCUGGCUUCUCUGCACCAUGGACUAUAUCCUUCUGUUAUCACACAGCCAGGCUGAGAGAGCUCUGGUCUCGUCUGGGACCAUCAGCCAGAGGGAGGGCAAGGUGAGCCCUACUUACUGAGCACAAGCAGAAGUCUGGCCUUGACUCAACAGCGAGUCCAGCGUCUUAGUGGUCUCUCAAUGACGCACCGCGGCUCUUCUGCCCUGUGUUGUAGGAAGGCAGCAGGGCCCUGGACGAAAAGGACCUGCUCCUCUGCGCCCUCUUUCUUGUCUUGCAGGGGGAGACGUUGAUGUCUGGGACUGGAGCUUCAGGAAUCUGGCCUGAACACAACCAGUGAAACGUUCGAGAGAGCAUGAAGUGGUGGCUGGGGUGGGCAUCAGGGAUCUGGGCACAACUGAGGGCCCUCCGCAGGGUCCCCUUCUGGCAGGCUGUGGCCACACAACCCUUCAGGAAGGCAGAUGAGUCAGAGCAGCCGAGACACCCACUGGAUUUGUUCUUUACACCAGCGGGCCCAAAGGACUGGAAGAACCCAGUGGGACAACAGUAACUCAAGGUGUAGUGGUGUUUAUGCUUAAGAGAAGAAGCUGUAACUCAAUUCACUGGGAAGAUGAGAAACAAAAGAAAGCCACUGUGUGCUGUGUAAAUGGCUGGCUGUCCCAAGCCACCUUGCACUGAAGAGCCCUGGAAGGACCUUGAUAAACUUGUUAUCAUGAGGCCUCUGUGUGGUUAUUCAUGUUAGACCUUAACAUAGGGAAAAGAUCAACAUUUUACCAAGUUCACAGACAUCAAACAAGAGCUUCAGGAUUGCUAACAAAUAUCACUCAGCUGGGCAGACUGACGUAGAUCUGAAUCCAUGACCUCCAACCUCACCUGCAGUCUCCGCCCUGCCUAGCUAGCUUCCAUUCCAGUUACUAGUUUCCAUUCUUUGCAAUGAUCAUUUCAUACUUUCUCUACCUGCUUCAGACAUCAGAUGCCCUUCACCUCCCUGCACCCCGACUUUCAGUAGACAAAAAACUCAUUAUUCAUGAGGAAACCUGGAGGCAUCAGAGUGAAAUGUGCUCACCUUCAAGGCACCAAGUCCCCAACUCACCUACCGUGCUCCUACUGGCUUCUCAACCCAUCCCUUGUGUUACAAAGAAAGAAGCAGUAAUGGCCCCAGCAAUGGCUUCACACGCUUUGCAUGAGAGGCCUUCAACUAGGGCUUGCAUUCCCACAGAGACAUGAACACUUUCUAGAAGGUAGGUGGGCACAGAUAGUUUUAAGGGAAUCAGUUUCAAGAGCUUCCUUCUUCAUAAUUUUCCUCUCCUUAUAUUCAUCAGCCUAAGAAGGAGCCUUAGGUCUGCAAGUUCGCCUCCCCAACCUCCGCUUUCCCAGUUGACCCUUCCUUCAUUCUGACUCCUACUCUGGCAUCUCCCUCUGCAGUAUUUUCUGAAAAACAAAUAAAAGGACUACUUGAGAAUGCUCUGCUUGAGGAAGUCCUUGAGAGAGCAAAGCCAAGAACAUACAAACAUUAUUAUAACUGUAUUCCAUAUGUUCACAUAGCUAAGUAGAGACUUAGAAAAAAAUAUAUAUAUAUAUAUAUUUUAAAUACCCAAAUUGAAUUUGUAGAGAUGAAAACUAAAAUGUCUGAUUAAAAAAAAGAAAAAUCCCUGGAUGGGAUCAACGGUUUAGACGUUUUAGAGAAAAAAAAAGGAUUAGUGGACUUGAAGACAUAGCAAUAGAUAUUAUCCAAAAUGAAACACCAAGAGAAGAAAAAAAGUUUAGAAAUGAAUAAA
This is an RNA transcript of Orcinus orca (killer whale), 8550 nucleotides long. It is a transcript of the gene named dispatched RND transporter family member 2, with no coding region annotated. The transcript is spliced from 9 exons. Lineage: Eukaryota; Metazoa; Chordata; Mammalia; Artiodactyla; Delphinidae. The record is from RefSeq and is a predicted model, not a curated record.